GCCCGAUGAUGAGACCAAGGCGAAUAUGAGCUUACUGGAUGAGCGCUGGGUUCUCCUUGCCCUAACUGACAGGUAAUCUUGGCAGUGCAGGGGAGGAUUCCUGCUCUGCUGUAAGGGCCUGCCUACAGUGACUUGGCCUGUCCUGAAUUAUUUCUCUGGAGGUACAGAGGUGUAAUGCUGGGAUGGAGCUGACAUUGUGAUUGUGUGCGUGUGUGUGCGCGGUAGUUUGUGUGAGUGUGUGUAAGAGGCAAGGAGUUCAACCAGCUCUCUUUGCUGUUCAGUCAGCUAUGAGUUGCUUCUUUGGUAAUCUGAGGGCA
Xyrichtys novacula (pearly razorfish) is the source of this 317-nucleotide non-coding RNA. Lineage: Eukaryota; Metazoa; Chordata; Actinopteri; Labriformes; Labridae. The record is from the annotation of a GenBank genome assembly.